AGUCGAGGGGGCCGAGGAACACCUCGGCAUCUGGAGUCUGGCGGGAAUGGUGAAAGGGUUGGGGCGCUAGCUCGGGCAGAGCGGAGGCUGGCGCCUGGGAACCAGCAAGGGGCAUGGUGUGACUCCCAGGCGUCAGGCAAACAGGGAAACAUCGGGGUAGGGUAGACUGGCCCGAGCUAGCGCUGGAGAGGAUAGAGUGAGCCAGACAUUCAUCCCGGUCACUUUUGGUUACAGGACGUGGCAGCUGGUCGGACAAGGGGGAACUGAUGGGCAGGGUUCAAUCUUCAGGCCUGGGCAAUUGAAGGUGUAGCUGGCAGCAAUGGGCAGGUGAGGACCGCCAUCUGCGGGGCAGGUGAGUCCCCUUCUCCUCCCUGGCCUCGCCACACUGACCUCCUGUAAGAAGGAGGAUUAAGAAGCGAAGGCUGGGGAAGAGAAGCGGCUAGCCUCCCAGUAGAGCGGGACAUGAGGGCAGGACAGUUAGUUAGAGGUGACAUCUUCUCGGGGGGAGCCGAGACGGAGCAAGGCUGGGUGGCCAUGGGCUCAUACCAGGUGGAAAGGUAAUGAGAGAGCAAGUCAGAGAGGUAGUAGGGCUGCCAGUGAGGGCUUGAGGCUGCUGACUCCAGGGAGGUGAUACGUGACCUUGGGGACGGUGGCAGAAGCGGCGUGGAUCCAACAAGAAUGGGCAUAUUCCAGGUUCGGGUUGAACAGGGCAGGCAGGGAAAGGUGUCACAGGACACACAGAUCGGUCCCCGGCUGCUACCACAUCUCACCCACUGCAAUCCAUUUAGAAGUAGGUUCAAGAAUGGACUCCAGCGAGGCCUUCGCUGGAGCUUUGAGGGCCGGAGAGCGGGAAAGAAGGGCAGUGCAUGCGGCAUGGCAGGACAUCACCGUGGGGGGAGGAGGGGUGACCACGGGUGGCGGGCUCCAGAGAGAUACCACAGCAAGGAGGCUGCAGCGGGCCCAGCCCAUGGACACACCACUCCCAAGCAGCACUGCGGCCCAGGGGUUGGCGCGGAGAGGGCUCACAGUGGACCUGAUGACACUGUACGCCCUAACCGUUCAGACCCCUGGGUCUGGCAUAGCGAACAGCUCAACACCAGGGGAGUCAAGGGCCUGGGGCGAAGCCAGACAAGGCGGGGUGGGCGGGGCGGAGUGAGUGCGCCCUCUAGGGAAGGAGGUGAUGCCCAAGCAGGGCGAGGUGCGGCAGCUUGGCAGCGAGCCGACGAGGCACUGGACUCCAGAGCCUGUGGCCAGGGAGGGCCCCUUGGGCGACGACGGAGCGUUGAUCGGUGCCUCAGAGCUCGGACAAGAGACAGAGUCAGGUCUCCAACAGAGGUGGGAGUGCCUACCAGCCACCGAAGGCCAGGACGGCAGGCGCGAUGAACAUACUAGAAAGACAUGAUACGGUCCGGUGUGAUGGCGAGGACAGAAAGGCUGCCAUCCAGCCUUCCUGAACACCAGUGGCUGGCGCUGCAGGACAUUGCCACAAGAAUCGUCUGUUCCUUUGCUUUGCCCAAUGAGCUCACACACAUCACUGCUGCUCUCUGGAAACCCCCCCCCUCCUAGAACCCUCAAGAUGACAAGAAAUGGUGCUACCCAGCUCAUGUCUGGGCCUUCAAAACCUUCGAAUUUGGGGACUUCUUCAAGUCCAUCUAGCUCUGAUUCAAGAAUAUAUUAAGCUCGGAACCACUACACUACCUGCCUCAGGAAUCGGCUCUGGAAGGCAAAGCCAAAGGAAUGGACAGUGUCAACACCGUGGACUGGCAGACACGCAGCAACCAUGCCCCACCCCGUGACUCCAUCUAUGUGGCCAACCCUGCCUCGCCCAGGAGAAUACCAUCUACAUGUCACCCCGGGGCGCAGCUUCUGCCCUGGGAUGACCCCAACACCAUCACCUCCUUCCUCUCCUCUUCUUCAUCCUUUCCUGUGUUCUCAUAUUUCUCGCCUUUCCUCUUUUCUUUGCUCGAGAGACUCAAAGCAUCCGUGACUCUGUUUCCCCACUCAUCCCUCCUGAAUUCAAUUUGCACUAAGUCGUUUGCACUGGUUUGGAGUUCUGGAAACAGCCUUGUGUCUCUUGGUACGAGUGUGUGCAAUGAGUGUGCGGGCCUCUUCGGCCAUGCUGCCCCAGCGCCUGCCUGCCCUCCACCUCUGUCUGGGGGCAACUGGGUGCCAGCUGCGUGCCUGAGGCCUCACCCUCCCUUAGCCUAGUCUGGAAGUUCCAUCACAAAGCGUUCAUUACCUACGCCCCACUUCGUCCCGUGCCCCUCCCCACCAGGGCCUCACCAGAGGUCCUGGCUUCAUCAAUAAAUACAGUUACAGUCA
Molecule: long non-coding RNA, 2322 nt
Organism: Jaculus jaculus (lesser Egyptian jerboa)
Lineage: Eukaryota; Metazoa; Chordata; Mammalia; Rodentia; Dipodidae
Exons: 5
Source: RefSeq, a predicted model, not a curated record